RNAcentral lists this transfer RNA (65 nucleotides) under Anoplotermes group sp. N TB-2017. RNAcentral's name for it is "tRNA-Ala". RNAcentral also lists the same sequence under 5 other names. Lineage: Eukaryota; Metazoa; Arthropoda; Insecta; Blattodea; Termitidae. The record is from RNAcentral.
GGGACUAUAGUUAAUAAUAACAUUUGAGUUGCAUUCAAAAAGUACUAUACAAAUAGUUAGCCUCA